UAACGCAUCCUCCACCGACCACAAACACGCCCGAGACAGACAGGAAAGAAUACACCGUGCCUCUGGAAUGGACGACAGAAAAUCCUGUUGAAAAACUUCAGAAGCUCGCCCAAGGCCUAGACCAGAGUUUUCCAGAGGUAGUAGGACCAGACGACAUCCUUGAAGUAACUACCAACAUCAAAGAAAUCAUCAAUGCCGG
Molecule: long non-coding RNA, 199 nt
Organism: Branchiostoma belcheri (Belcher's lancelet)
Lineage: Eukaryota; Metazoa; Chordata; Leptocardii; Amphioxiformes; Branchiostomatidae
Exons: 3
Source: RefSeq, a predicted model, not a curated record